UUACAGAAGUAACAUACGAUAGUAAAUAUUCCAUUCUUGUUGCAUUUCUGAGCUAGCAGUCGUCUUAGCACAUAUUAGUUUUCACCAGAAGAAGAUACAGGAGAAACUAGGAAAGAAAUCCCUUAAAAUGCCUUCCUUGAAUAUGUCUUGUCACGACCUGUUUGACGAACGAGGAAGAAAAUGAUGGUCGGAAGUGCAAUCGCGUCUCUACGCUGCACUCGAUGGCUUAUCGAUCUUUGCAUUUCCGCGCACUAGCCCCAAUAAAUUUAUUUAUAAUAAUACGAGAUGCUGAUUGCCACAGCUUGAACUCUUGAAAUAAAAAGAAUAAAUAUACUGAGAGAAAAUCUGCAUAAAGUGUAUAUCUUUUUUAUAAAUAAG
This is a long non-coding RNA of Temnothorax curvispinosus, 378 nucleotides long. RefSeq lists it as uncharacterized. The record is from RefSeq and is a predicted model, not a curated record. Lineage: Eukaryota; Metazoa; Arthropoda; Insecta; Hymenoptera; Formicidae. The transcript is spliced from 3 exons.